This 24-nucleotide non-coding RNA is filed under the name Arabidopsis thaliana (thale cress). Lineage: Eukaryota; Viridiplantae; Streptophyta; Magnoliopsida; Brassicales; Brassicaceae. The record is from RNAcentral.
CAGACUGUUCACAGAUUCUACCUA